GCAGAUGCAACCUGCUACGCUGGAGUGCCACAAACCCCACUACCGCCCCUACCCUCCCUGUCCAGCCAAGCCACGCCACCCGGGCCCGCCCCCAGGACACGGAGUUUAAGGACCGCGUCUCCCGAGAUGCCAGAGGGACCUGCGUCCGCACUGCCCCAGUGUGACCCGCAUACCUACCGGCCCCGACCCCGAACCGCGUGGCGUCCGCCCGAGCCCUGGCGCUGCUGGGUCUCCUGCUGCUGCCGCUGCUCGCAGAGCCCAGGAAACUCUGCCCGCAGCUUAUGACGGUCAUUAACCAGUUUCUGACCAAGGACAAGGACACCUACAUGGACACUGUCAACAGAUACCACCUCACGGAGCCGGAAAGAAACACAUCCUCUAAACUCAAGGACUGCGUGACCGACACAAUGACCCCCGAGGAGACAGAGGCCGUCGUGCAGCAACUGGAAGAAAUCAACAACCAGUGUGCCGACACGAUACUGAAGUAACACCAUCCAUAGGCACCUCGGGUUCCUGUCCAGGCUGCCUGUCCCAACCAUGAGAAUCUGGGCCCAGGGCCCCACCCUCCCUAGCUCCCGCCCUGCUGCUGCCUCUACUCUCUCUCCUGCUGUGCUGAUUGGGGCAAGCCUGGGAACGGCUGCCCCCCACCUCCCCACCCAGGCCUGUCCCCUGCGGGACAAUGCUGCCUAAUAAACUCACCUGCAUCCAUCCA
Long non-coding RNA from Homo sapiens (human), 712 nucleotides. Ensembl annotates it as secretoglobin family 1B member 2, pseudogene. Its record names the gene SCGB1B2P. Lineage: Eukaryota; Metazoa; Chordata; Mammalia; Primates; Hominidae. The record is from Ensembl.